AUGUCUGGGUCCAGGCCACUGUUUACAAUGGUGUUUUCCUGUGAAAUGUCUUGGUCCAGGCCACUGUUUAGAAUGGUGUUUUCCUGUGAAAUGUCUUGGUCCAGGCCACUGUUUAGAAUGAAUUGGGGGUUUCCUGUGAAAUGUCUUGGACCAGGCCCCCCAUUGACCAAAUGUCUUGGACCAGGCCUGGGCCCCCAAUGAUCAAAUGUCUUGGACCAAGCCUGGGCCCCCACUGACCAAAUGUUUUGGACCGGGCC
This 257-nucleotide long non-coding RNA is filed under the name Salmo salar (Atlantic salmon). RNAcentral describes it as "lncRNA (ENSSSAG00000082001.1)". Lineage: Eukaryota; Metazoa; Chordata; Actinopteri; Salmoniformes; Salmonidae. The record is from RNAcentral.